AUUAAAGCUGCCCAUUCCCAUGCCCUGUCUGACGUUAACGCCUCCCUCGCAUGGUCCAAUGAAAUGCUUCAUAGAGAAGUAUCUGAUUGGACCAUUUACCAACUCAGAACAGGGAGAGGGAAGGGAGAUCAAGCAUCCCGUUGCAGGCAUGAUCUCUGCACUGCAACAGGAGAAGCUUAGAAGGUCUGUCACCAGUGCGCAGUGCACUGGAUACAGACAACCGACGUGAUUAGUGCAC
Non-coding RNA from Pelobates cultripes (western spadefoot toad), 238 nucleotides. NCBI's taxonomy places the organism in Eukaryota, Metazoa, Chordata, Amphibia, Anura, Pelobatidae. The record is from the annotation of a GenBank genome assembly.